GAGUUUGAUCUUGGCUCAGAUUGAACGCUGGCGGCAUGCUUUACACAUGCAAGUCGAACGGCAGCACGGAGAGCUUGCUCUCUGGUGGCGAGUGGCGAACGGGUGAGUAAUGCAUCGGAACGUACCGAGUAAUGGGGGAUAACUGUCCGAAAGGAUGGCUAAUACCGCAUACGCCCUGAGGGGGAAAGCGGGGGAUCUUAGGACCUCGCGUUAUUUGAGCGGCCGAUGUUGGAUUAGCUAGUUGGUGGGGUAAAGGCCUACCAAGGCGACGAUCCAUAGCGGGUCUGAGAGGAUGAUCCGC
This 301-nucleotide ribosomal RNA is filed under the name Snodgrassella alvi. RNAcentral's name for it is "bacterial SSU rRNA". It matches the Rfam family "Bacterial small subunit ribosomal RNA", at positions 9 to 308 of the family's 1533-position model. The record is from RNAcentral. Lineage: Bacteria; Pseudomonadati; Pseudomonadota; Betaproteobacteria; Neisseriales; Neisseriaceae.